This 741-nucleotide ribosomal RNA is filed under the name Rothia mucilaginosa. RNAcentral describes it as "bacterial SSU rRNA". It matches the Rfam family "Bacterial small subunit ribosomal RNA", at positions 28 to 776 of the family's 1533-position model. The record is from RNAcentral. Lineage: Bacteria; Bacillati; Actinomycetota; Actinomycetes; Micrococcales; Micrococcaceae.
GACGAACGCUGGCGGCGUGCUUAACACAUGCAAGUCGAACGAUGAAGCCUAGCUUGCUAGGUGGAUUAGUGGCGAACGGGUGAGUAAUACGUGAGUAACCUACCUUUAACUCUGGGAUAAGCCUGGGAAACUGGGUCUAAUACCGGAUACGACCAAUCUCCGCAUGGGGUGUUGGUGGAAAGCGUUAUGUAGUGGUUAUAGAUGGGCUCACGGCCUAUCAGCUUGUUGGUGAGGUAACGGCUCACCAAGGCGACGACGGGUAGCCGGCCUGAGAGGGUGACCGGCCACACUGGGACUGAGACACGGCCCAGACUCCUACGGGAGGCAGCAGUGGGGAAUAUUGCACAAUGGGCGCAAGCCUGAUGCAGCGACGCCGCGUGAGGGAUGACGGCCUUCGGGUUGUAAACCUCUGUUAGCAGGGAAGAAGAGAAAUUGACGGUACCUGCAGAGAAAGCGCCGGCUAACUACGUGCCAGCAGCCGCGGUAAUACGUAGGGUGCAAGCGUUAAUCGGAAUUACUGGGCGUAAAGCGUGCGCAGGCGGUUUUGUAAGUCUGACGUGAAAGCCCCGGGCUCAACCUGGGAAUUGCGUUGGAGACUGCAAGGCUUGAAUCUGGCAGAGGGGGGUAGAAUUCCACGUGUAGCAGUGAAAUGCGUAGAGAUGUGGAGGAACACCGAUGGCGAAGGCAGCCCCCUGGGUCAAGAUUGACGCUCAUGCACGAAAGCGUGGGGAGCAAAACAAG